AGUGAACGCUGGCGGUAGGCCUAACACAUGCAAGUCGAACGGCAGCACAGUAAGAGCUUGCUCUUACGGGUGGCGAGUGGCGGACGGGUGAGGAAUACAUCGGAAUCUACUUUUUCGUGGGGGAUAACGUAGGGAAACAUACGCUAAUACCGCAUACGACCUACGGGUGAAAGCAGGGGAUCUUCGGACCUUGCGCGAUUGAAUGAGCCGAUGUCGGAUUAGCUAGUUGGCGGGGUAAAGGCCCACCAAGGCGACGAUCCGUAGCUGGUCUGAGAGGAUGAUCAGCGACACUGGAACUGAGACACGGUCCAGACUCCUACGGGAGGCAGCAGUGGGGAAUAUUGGACAAUGGGCGCAAGCCUGAUCCAGCCAUACCGCGUGGGUGAAGAAGGCCUUCGGGUUGUAAAGCCCUUUUGUUGGGAAAGAAAAGCAGCAGGUUAAUACCCCGCUGUUCUGACGGUACCCAAAGAAUAAGCACCGGCUAACUUCGUG
Molecule: ribosomal RNA, 492 nt
Filed under: uncultured bacterium
Lineage: Bacteria
Description: partial 16S ribosomal RNA
Rfam family: Bacterial small subunit ribosomal RNA
Source: RNAcentral